CCCCUUUUCUCCAGUCCCCACGCCCGCGCGAGCGCUACCUCUCACCGCCUGCGCCGCCGCCUUCUCCCCCCAAGCUUCGGCUCCACCAAGGUAGCCCGGCCGAUUCUCGCAGCCCACUGAAAGCCGGCACGCCGACGGCCUUCGUCCUCUCGCGCCGGCGCGUCGCCGCGAUCCCCGCCGGCACGGGCGCCUAUUCCCCCCUUGCUCCUGCUCCCCGCUCGCGCCGCCGUUGCCGCGCGCCUCCAUGAACUUCUCCGACGACUGGCGCUUCCUCUUCCCCGUCUCCUCCGUGUUCAACCCGCCGUCCCUCGCCCCGCCGGACGCCUCCCACGGGCCCCUCUUCUUCACCCCUCUCCCGCCGCCCGCCCCGCUCCUCUCCCUCCCCUUCCCCUUCCCUCCGCCCCUGCACGCCUCCACCACCGGUGACCUCCGCCACGCCCUCCGCUACAUCGUCGGCUCCACCUCCUUCCUCCCCUACUCCGAUCUCAAGUCCCUCUCGGGACCCCUCCUCGCCGCGCCGUCGCCGCCGUUCCCACCGCCUUCCAAUCUUCUCGCCGUCGUCCCCUCCCGCUCCUCAAGCUCUCUCGUCCUCUUUUUCCCGUACGGCGAAAAUGCGGAGAAGAUUGCUUUCGCUCUUGUGAACUCGCCCGUUGCGAGCUCUGCGCCAGUUUCGCCCUUCGUUCAGAGUGAUGGGUUCAAGCACCCUGGGCACCGCAUACAGCAGCUUGCUGCUAUUCCUGCCCAGUCGUCCUGGUCAUCGGAGCCGGAUGACAGCUGUGUCGAGGGUUUCCUGCUUGCUGCGACAUUGUACUCAGUGAAUUGGUUCAGGGUCGAGUCACGCGAUUCGGGUUCCCCGGUGCUUGUACCGGUGGCCAAGCAGGGGUUUGAUGCUGCUGUCGUGCACGCGUGCUGGAGCAGGCAUUUUCCAUCACAAUGUGCGGUGCUGCUGGAGAAUGGGGAGUUGUGUUGGUUUGAUCUGAAUACACGACUUGGAGGAAAGACGAGCGUUGGUUUUGGCGGCAAUGGUGAAGACUGGGGGGACUGGCUAAGCUGUGCGUAUGGAGCGCAACCGUGGAUGGUGAUAGUCGCAAGCACAAAAGCCGUCCUUUUGGUUGAUUUGAGCUUUGUAGAUCAUGGUGACAAAUACGUCGUGGAAAACGAGCCACACAAGUUUCAGUACAAGGUUCUAGCAAAAGUUGGGUUGCCAGGGUUAUUUGAAACUGAGCCUUUUGACAGGACUGAGCAUUAUAUUGCAUUCUGCAAGGCUGGGUUCGAUGAUUCCCAUAUAUCAGUAGUGACAGAGCGUCACUUGAUUCUCCUUGAUGUGACAAAGCCGUUGGAACCUGUGUUGGCUUGGCAGCAUGGGCUUGAGAACCCAAAUCAUGUUGCCAUGUUUCGGCUAUCUGAAUUGAGACCUUCCAAGGAAUAUGAAUGGGCUUCAAAUUCAGGUUUUGCCAUUUUGGUUGGUUCGUUCCAGAAUGGGGAGUUCAGUUUGUUCUGUUACGGGCCUAAGGAGCAAGGUUGUCCAGAUAAUUCUCAUUUAUACGCUUGGGAUAUUCCUUCGAGGCUUUCUCUGACAGGUCAGUAUUGUGGCUGCAGCAAUGAAAUCAUGAAAGAGAUAUUCUCAACGCCUGUUUCAGUAUAUGAUGGGUAUGCUUCCCAACACCGCGCUAAGUCCAUUGUUGGCUACUAUGUGCUUCCAGAUGACCUCUCAAUAUCGGAGCCAACAUCUGCCAGCUUUGCCUUGAUCCGGCUAACAGCAUUGGGGAAGUUGGAAAUGCAACAGUAUCGUGCAUCUCGAGGUCUGCAUGAUGAAAUUGACACCCCAUGUGAUGAAUCAGAACAUGCAUCCAUGGAUAGUAGUUCAUCCAUUUUGAUUGACACUCAGGGUGAAAAUGUCUCCACCAAAUAUCGAUUCUUGAAGUUGCAUUUUCUAUAUGAACAUCUGAAGGGCAAUCUAUGCAGUGCGUUGGCGAAGCAUGGUACUGGUGUUAACGGAGACAGAGAUCAAAUUAUUAUUAGUGAAGACGUGUUGGCAUUUGCAGAGGAUAACUCCAGAUCCAGCUCGCUGCCAGUUUCAGAUUUCCUAUGUAAUGCUAGCAUCCCCAUGAAUGUUUUCGAAAUUGCAUGUCAGAGCAUAUUGAACAGUCUACCUUCAAAUAUUCUUCAUGUCUCCCUUUCUAAAUACAAGGACAUGCUAAAAUGCGAUACAAAAGAAGGCUUAGUAGAAUAUUUAAAAGUUCCUAGCUGUUCGCCACACAAUGAACUUCGGCCUUUCCUGUUAGCGAAACCAUCAAGCACAUGUGAGAAGGUGACUAGCAAAGCGGUAUCUCAAAAUGCUCUUGUUGGGCCAGUGCUCCCUGUGCAUGUCCUACUUGCAAUGGAAGAGAUGAACAGGGGCAUAGACAGCCCUUCGGAAAGAGAAACUGCAGAAACUGACUUAGUACGCCAUCGAUGUAGUGAGGUGCUUGAAGCCUUUGUUCCUGAAGUAUCCAUUGCUGAGUCCGACAACUUUGAUGGAUGGUUCUCCUCACAAAAGUUGAAUGACAAGAAGUCAUAUCUUGUUUACGAGCCUCGGAUUGAAAAUAAGUUUACUCUUGAUAAAACUGUUAUAAAGAAGGAAAAUGAAGAGCAAAAGGCCGCUGAUCGUACAUCUUUUGAAACGUCUGCAGCACCAUACAAGGAUGAGAACUUCAUGACAUUUGUUUGUGGAAAAGCUGGGACUCUUGAUUCUGGGCCUGAACAAACCACAUCUGAUUUGUUUGAUUUCACCCCAGUGAGGAUGGAUUUUGCUUCCACAGAUCUAGACAUUCAACCUGCCGAGGAAGAAGUGUACAGAUGCUUGAAGAAACAAUUUUUAAGAUGGCAAAAUAAUUUCAAGCCAUACCAAGAUUUUUGUAGCUCAUAUAAAAUACAAAAGCCAUCAUAAUGGCCUGCAGUGCUCCAUUCAGUUGUAGCAGGUAUUGUACAUUUCCAUGUGAUGACAUGCAAAUUUGUUGAGAAAAGGACAGACUAGUAAUAUAUACGCUCUCAGGUGCUUGGCCUGGUAUAGACAUACAGUGCUGUUUGCAUAUUUCAAACACUUCUUGGGAGUAAGAUGCGGUGGGCGGCGCUGUAAAUUAUGAAGGGCACCUAUUAUAUUGACAGGAUUUGCCACCUUGAGGUGCAUUUAACAGGAAUUUCACGCACUUGAUGUUAAGCAUUGGUGCGCCAUUUAUAGACCGUGUAGCAAGGCAGCAAGAGUCCAAGCCAUAUUGGGGCAUUACAUAGGCGACGAGGAGGGAGUGAGAUUGCAUCAAAAGUUCAACAUUUUGCUGAGUGACAACUACGAGCAUUAGCGCGUGCGUUCUUUUCUUUUCUUCUUUGUUGAGAGAAAGUGUGGCAGUUGUAACCUAACCAGAUACGUGCACUCAUAAAAAAAACUGUCUCACAAGAGUUUUUCUUCAUUUCAGUUGAGCCAAAACCUGCCAUUUGGGCAAAGUUUUUUGGCUGAAAUCUUAGUUUGCUACGGGCUGCAACGAUAGUGGCGUGUUUGCCUGUUGAGCUGUGCAGUAAAGUGUACAUAUUUUCUCUUGAGCAUGGACCAUUGUAUGUCAUGAUUCUGAAGCUCCAUGCUGAUGCAUGAAAGCAAAUCCAGUCACACGAUGGCCUCGUGAUUAAUGGUA
Aegilops tauschii subsp. strangulata is the source of this 3665-nucleotide non-coding RNA. The record is from RefSeq and is a predicted model, not a curated record. Lineage: Eukaryota; Viridiplantae; Streptophyta; Magnoliopsida; Poales; Poaceae.